RNAcentral lists this ribosomal RNA (581 nucleotides) under Klebsiella quasipneumoniae subsp. similipneumoniae. Its description in RNAcentral is "partial 23S ribosomal RNA". It matches the Rfam family "Bacterial large subunit ribosomal RNA", at positions 611 to 1193 of the family's 2925-position model. Lineage: Bacteria; Pseudomonadati; Pseudomonadota; Gammaproteobacteria; Enterobacterales; Enterobacteriaceae. RNAcentral also lists the same sequence under 2 other names. The record is from RNAcentral.
UAUAAUGGGUCAGCGACUUAUAUUCUGUAGCAAGGUUAACCGUAUAGGGGAGCCGCAGGGAAACCGAGUCUUAACUGGGCGUUAAGUUGCAGGGUAUAGACCCGAAACCCGGUGAUCUAGCCAUGGGCAGGUUGAAGGUUGGGUAACACUAACUGGAGGACCGAACCGACUAAUGUUGAAAAAUUAGCGGAUGACUUGUGGCUGGGGGUGAAAGGCCAAUCAAACCGGGAGAUAGCUGGUUCUCCCCGAAAGCUAUUUAGGUAGCGCCUCGUGAACUCAUCUUCGGGGGUAGAGCACUGUUUCGGCUAGGGGGUCAUCCCGACUUACCAACCCGAUGCAAACUACGAAUACCGAAGAAUGUUAUCACGGGAGACACACGGCGGGUGCUAACGUCCGUCGUGAAGAGGGAAACAACCCAGACCGCCAGCUAAGGUCCCAAAGUCAUGGUUAAGUGGGAAACGAUGUGGGAAGGCACAGACAGCCAGGAUGUUGGCUUAGAAGCAGCCAUCAUUUAAAGAAAGCGUAAUAGCUCACUGGUCGAGUCGGCCUGCGCGGAAGAUGUAACGGGGCUAAACCAUGCA